UACGGAGGAUCCGAGCGUUAUCCGGAAUUAUUGGGUUUAAAGGGUGCGUAGGCGGCCAUUUAAGUCAGCGGUGAAAUUUUGCAGCUCAACUGUAAAAGUGCCAUUGAUACUGGUUUUCUUGAGUGUGGAUGAAGUAGGCGGAAUUUGUGGUGUAGCGGUGAAAUGCUUAGAUAUCACGAGGAACUCCGAUUGCGCAGGCAGCUUACUAAACCACUACUGACGCUCAGGCACGAAGGCGUGGGGAUCAAACAGGAUUAGAUACCCG
This 265-nucleotide ribosomal RNA is filed under the name uncultured prokaryote. RNAcentral's name for it is "partial 16S ribosomal RNA". It matches the Rfam family "Bacterial small subunit ribosomal RNA", at positions 524 to 788 of the family's 1533-position model. The record is from RNAcentral.